GGAAAAUGAUCAGCUACUUCCCUUUUGUUUUUCCCAUCAAUUAACAAAAUAAAAAUGGACAAUGAACAUUAACAGAUGAGGAAUGGUUUCAGAUUGUAAUCAGUGUUUAAUAUUGCUUAAAUUCUGGCCACUUUUCACUUUCAGUUAGUGUUAGAUUUUAAUAUAGACGAUUGGAAAGUAUAUGGAGGGAAAAAAAAAACAUCCUGAUGAUAUAUUUUCUAAAUCUACUUUUUAUUUUUA
Molecule: unclassified non-coding RNA, 240 nt
Filed under: Hevea brasiliensis (rubber tree)
Lineage: Eukaryota; Viridiplantae; Streptophyta; Magnoliopsida; Malpighiales; Euphorbiaceae
Source: RNAcentral